UUCGAACUUCUUUCGGACUUCAUCGAUGACCGAGCUUCUCCAGCAGCGGGACUUCUAAAAUUAGAAGUCUCCAUCCGAGCUUCCACGAUAACUGAUCUUCGUCCGAGCUUCUACAAUAAGAAGACUCCUUUCAGACUCAUACAAAAGUCAGAAUACAGCAAAAUUGAAUCUCAGACUCCUCCAACAUUCGACCUUCCACAGCAUCCUCAAGACUCCUC
Molecule: long non-coding RNA, 218 nt
Filed under: Elaeis guineensis (African oil palm)
Lineage: Eukaryota; Viridiplantae; Streptophyta; Magnoliopsida; Arecales; Arecaceae
Description: long non-coding RNA (EGUI_LNC064397)
Source: RNAcentral